This 809-nucleotide ribosomal RNA is filed under the name uncultured bacterium. RNAcentral describes it as "bacterial SSU rRNA". It matches the Rfam family "Bacterial small subunit ribosomal RNA", at positions 63 to 884 of the family's 1533-position model. The record is from RNAcentral.
CAUGGAACGAAUCUUCGGAGGAGGGAAAUGGUGACUGAGUGGCGGACGGGUGAGUAACGCGUGGGUAACCUGCCUCGUACAGGGGGACAACAGUUGGAAACGACUGCUAAUACCGCAUAAGCGCACGAUACUGCAUGGUAUUGUGUGAAAAACUGAGGUGGUACGAGAUGGACCCGCGUCUGAUUAGCUGGUUGGUGGGGUAACGGCCUACCAAGGCGACGAUCAGUAGCCGACCUGAGAGGGUGACCGGCCACAUUGGGACUGAGACACGGCCCAAACUCCUACGGGAGGCAGCAGUGGGGAAUAUUGCACAAUGGGGGAAACCCUGAUGCAGCGACGCCGCGUGAAGGAAGAAGUAUUUCGGUAUGUAAACUUCUAUCAGCAGGGAAGAAAAUGACGGUACCUGAGUAAGAAGCCCCGGCUAACUACGUGCCAGCAGCCGCGGUAAUACGUAGGGGGCAAGCGUUAUCCGGAUUUACUGGGUGUAAAGGGAGCGUAGACGGUAAUGUAAGUCUGAUGUGAAAGCCCGGGGCUCAACCCCGGGACUGCAUUGGAAACUAUGUAACUAGAGUACCGGAGAGGUAAGCGGAAUUCCUAGUGUAGCGGUGAAAUGCGUAGAUAUUAGGAGGAACACCAGUGGCGAAGGCGGCUUACUGGACGGAAACUGACGUUGAGGCUCGAAAGCGUGGGGAGCAAACAGGAUUAGAUACCCUGGUAGUCCACGCCGUAAACGAUGACUACUAGGUGUCGGGUGUCAAAGACAUUCGGUGCCGCAGCNAACGCAAUAAGUAGUCCACCUGGGGAGUACG